Molecule: non-coding RNA, 4651 nt
Organism: Spodoptera litura
Lineage: Eukaryota; Metazoa; Arthropoda; Insecta; Lepidoptera; Noctuidae
Source: RefSeq, a predicted model, not a curated record
UAAUUGUCACUGUUGUUUAUCAAAUGAAUGAUCCACAUUGGAAAUAAGAACAAAAACUGUUAAUUAAAUAAACCAUGGUUUUAUUUUUAUGUUUUUAAGUGACAUAUAAUUUUAAAGUUUGUUAAAAAUGUCUAUUCACUGGAGUUCAGAAGUGAUGAAAUGGGAGUAUCGCGAGUUACAAGCCACGGCUAUGACCGUGGAUUAUUCGGGCAACAAUGUGUUAUUAGCGGGGCGACGGUGGCUUGCGAUAAAACAGAUAACACAGGAUGAGGAUUCUGGAGAUAUAGUCAAAAAAUAUCCUCGUCACAGCAAGUACGAUGCGGCCGGUGCUGAGUGGUGUCAGUCAUACCAUGGUCAGAAACUCUGCGCUAUCGCGAGUAACCAAAGAGUAGACGUAUAUGAGUGGCGUAACGGCAAUGACUUAACAUGCAUUUGUUCUCUCCGUGGACACACUCGAGUAGUCAGUGACACUCACUUCCACAGACAGGAUCACAACCUUAUAGCAACAUGCUCUAUUGACACAUUCACUCAUUUAUGGGAUUUGAGAGAUGCAAGGAAACCUGUAGUAUCAUUGUGUGCAGUUGCUGGUGCCUCACAGGUGCAAUGGAACAAAGUAGCCACACAUAUAGUGGCCACUGCUCACGAUGGUGACAUAAAAAUAUGGGAUUACCGCAAACAUUCUGCUCCUAUUCACUAUAUUUCUGCACAUCUUUGCAAAAUCCAUGGAGUGGACUGGAGCCCUCAUCAUGAAUACCAAUUGGUUACUUCUAGUCAUGAUGGAAGUAUAAAAUAUUUUGACAUUAACAAUGCAAGAAGACCAGAGAAUGUGAUAAUGACAAACUUUCCAGUAUGGCGAGCAAUAUACACUCCGUUUGGCAGUGGUCUACUGACCAUAGGUGUAGGCUGGGGAGGGAUGCCUAGAGUAGAACAGGCUGGAGUGAUUGGUAUAUGGGUAGGUGGGGCACUGACACACCGACUUGUGGGACACACUGAUACAGUCCAAACUAUGGUCUGGAGACCAAAUACCUCACCAUCCAACUAUCAACUAGUGACAUGGGCUAGAGACCAGUCUCUAAGAGUAUGGUCAAUGCAUCCCUCAUUAUUAAAGAUGUGCAAUCACUAUUUGCCUGAUGAUGGUGAAAAUGAUGAUGACAAUAAUAGUGACAACGUUAGCUAUGCAUCUACAGCGGGGUCCACCACUGAUAUCUCUACAGGAGAUAACAAAGGUCAAGAUAUUGCAUUGAAUAAACUGCCGCACAAAACUAACACGUCGAUAGAUGAAGAAUUUGAGUCUAUUCGCGAGAUGGCGAACAUCGAGGUAACAGAUAUGAAUAUUGAGACCCGGACAUGCCAGAUACACUCUGAGCGCAAUGGCUACGUGGCGAAUCUCCAAGUGACUUUCCCAAGAAAUGUUACAGAACAAACUAUACCAAAGUUUUCAUGGCUGUCUGGAACAAAUGUCGACAGUCCCACUACUAUUAAAAUAUUACAGUCUAUCAAUAGAACUGCUUACCGCAAGAAAAAGGAAGGUCACAGAUGUCUAUUGCACUGCUUGAAAACACUGGCUACAUCUAUAGACGAGAUACCAGUCAAAUCCAGUGACGAUACUGACUCAAUGAAGUCAAGUCAAAGAAGUCAGUCGGAGAGUGAAAACGCUGGUGACUCGUGCAUCCCGUUCCCUAGAACUUGUGGGGCCAAAUGGUGCGGAGUCAGUACAUUGGUGGUGUUCAAUAGGCCCCCGAAUGCUCGUCGUCUGUCGCUGAAGCACGAGACAGGCACUCCGCGGUCCAUGUCCUCCCUGUCGCUCACUCCGGGACUGUUUGGCACAACUGGCUACAACUCCGUGUCGCCCCACGCGACCACGACGCCGUCUCCAACAAACGCGUCCGGUUUUCCACAGCUGCAUCACAGACAUCCGUCGAAUUCCAUUACUACGUUCUAUUUUCAAGAUAGAUGGAAAGCACAGGGUCGUCGCGCAGGUAGCAUGCGAAGUCGAGGCAGUAUAUCUGGAUGCGUGGCACCACGAGUCGUUUUGUACGCCGCCCCCAACCUGUUUCCACUUAGUCGUAACCUCGCUGAGAAAUAUAUCAUUAACGCUGACAAUCCUAUCGAAAUGUGCGAAAAGAAUGCAAAAGUAGCUACAGAAGAGGGUGAGACAGACUUGGCGCAUGCGUGGGACCUGGCAGCUUUGACCGCGCGGUCCCUGCGGGCGCGAGUCAUCGAUCACCUCGUCUCCAGCGAGGAGAGCAUGGGCUGGGUCGGACACCCACUCUGUUGCAACCUCCUCCAGUCCUUAAUAUCUCACUACGCAAAAGCGUCGAACCUCCAGAUGGCCGCAAUGUUGGCUUGUGCUUUUUCCGUCUUCAAUGACACAAGCAACUCUAGUUCACAAUCUACAAUUAGCACGUCAAGUUAUGGCAACGGCACAUCUCCAUACAGUACAGUGAAUCAAUACAGUGAGAUAAGCGCAGACGGGUGGACGCUUCCAAUUGUACUGCGCAGUAACUCAUGUUCAGAAGCAGAGAACUUCUACACCGACUCUACGGUGUCAAAGUCCGAAAAAGCAUCGUCGUGUGUACUCGAUGAAGCAACUGUACAUCUGUAUCAUUGCUUUAAAAGAGUUUACGCAGACAUACUGCAUCGCUGGCAGUUAAUUUAUAAAAAGACUGAGGUGUUGAAGCUGGUGAACGGCGACACAAGCUGCAGCAGCGGGCCGGGCCCCGAGCUGGCGGCGGAGUGCGCGCGGUGCGGCGCGGGCGUGCGCGGCCCGGCCUGCACGCAGUGCGCGCGCCUCGCGCUGCGCUGCGCCGUCUGCGCGCGCCCCGUGCGCGGCCUGGCCGCCGCCUGCCACUACUGCGCGCACGCGGGCCACGCGCUACACAUGUUGCACUGGUACGUACACUACUACUACACACGACACACUACUAGUCGCGCCCCGUGCGCGGCCUGGCCGCCGCCUGCCACUACUGCGCGCACGCGGGCCACGCGCUACACAUGUUGCACUGGUACGUACACUACUACUACACACGACACACUACUAGUCGCGCCCCGUGCGCGGCCUGGCCGCCGCCUGCCACUACUGCGCGCACGCGGGCCACGCGCUACACAUGUUGCACUGGUACGUACACUACUACUACACACGACACACUACUAGUCGCGCCCCGUGCGCGGCCUGGCCGCCGCCUGCCACUACUGCGCGCACGCGGGCCACGCGCUACACAUGUUGCACUGGUACGUACACUACUACUACACACGACACACUACUAGUCGCGCCCCGUGCGCGGCCUGGCCGCCGCCUGCCACUACUGCGCGCACGCGGGCCACGCGCUACACAUGUUGCACUGGUACGUACACUACUACUACACACGACACACUACUAGUCGCGCCCCGUGCGCGGCCUGGCCGCCGCCUGCCACUACUGCGCGCACGCGGGCCACGCGCUACACAUGUUGCACUGGUACGUACACUACUACUACACACGACACACUACUAGUCGCGCCCCGUGCGCGGCCUGGCCGCCGCCUGCCACUACUGCGCGCACGCGGGCCACGCGCUACACAUGUUGCACUGGUACGUACACUACUACUACACACGACACACUACUAGUCGCGCCCCGUGCGCGGCCUGGCCGCCGCCUGCCACUACUGCGCGCACGCGGGCCACGCGCUACACAUGUUGCACUGGUACGUACACUACUACUACACACGACACACUACUAGUCGCGCCCCGUGCGCGGCCUGGCCGCCGCCUGCCACUACUGCGCGCACGCGGGCCACGCGCUACACAUGUUGCACUGGUACGUACACUACUACUACACACGACACACUACUAGUCGCGCCCCGUGCGCGGCCUGGCCGCCGCCUGCCACUACUGCGCGCACGCGGGCCACGCGCUACACAUGUUGCACUGGUACGUACACUACUACUACACACGACACACUACUAGUCGCGCCCCGUGCGCGGCCUGGCCGCCGCCUGCCACUACUGCGCGCACGCGGGCCACGCGCUACACAUGUUGCACUGGUUUUCACAACACGACACAUGCCCAACAGGGUGCGGCUGCAAAUGCGUGAUGGAAGGCAACUCCGUGUGGAAAGGAGUCAAUAAGUACGUGUGACGACUUAUGUUUGUAACUGAUUUUAAACUGCUAUGUAAAUAUCAACACUUAAUUUAUGUUUAACUAUUUCUCUUGGGUUCAAUAGAGUAGCUUUUUUUUAUCUCAUGAAGCAUUUUACAGGUUUUGAGCAUUGUUUUAUACUGUAAAUGGGGAUAGUUUUUACGUAUAAUUGCAUAAACUGCUCAACAAAACAUCUUUCAACCAACUUGACAUGUGGCCUUCUAUUUAUUACAUGUAGUUGACAACUAGUCAUAUUCAAUACUUUUAUAAUAAGAUAGCAACGUACUAAUUUGAAUUUUAUAUAAUCAAAACGAUCAACUGGAUUGUCAUGGUCGUCAUGGGAUGUUUUAGAUAAUUAACAGGUAUCUCUAUUCGAGAUAUGAUGGACAAUGAUAAAAUUAUGCUUUUAUAUUUUAGUGAAACAGUAAUUUUCGUCACUUUAACAAAGUUGUAAUAUUAAUUGUGUAAAUACCUUUUACUAUUAUGUUAUUAAUGAAGACUGCCAAUUUUAUACAAUCAAUUGUUAAUAAAUAAG